AAAAAUUUUAAUGUUUGUUUACUAUUGAGAGAGAGACAGUAUGAGCAGGGAGGGGCAGAAAGAGAGAGGGAGACACAGAAACCGAGGCAGGCUCCAGGCUAUGAGCUGUCAGCACAGAGCCGGAUGUGAGGCUCAAACUCACAGAUUGCGAGAUUAUGACCUGAACCGACGUUGGACACUUAACCGACUAAGCCACCCGGGUGCCCCUACAUCGCUUUUAUUAUUAGCAUUUUACUAUAAUGCUUUAUUUAUUUAUAAAAUAUCUAUAAAAUAUUUAUAAUAUUGUAAAUAUUUUAUCACACAGCUUUGUAUUUUUCUGUUAAUCCAUUACAUGUUUUUUAAAAUCUCCCACUUUUUUUUUAACCUGAAAUGUUUAAUUUAGCCAUAUCCUAAGCAGUUAUAUCUGUGAGCCACUGUCUUAAGGACCAGGUAUAUUUUUUCUAAAACAUAAAAGUGAAGUCAUAUGCACUGACAACCAGUAGUUUGUAUUUGACAUUUUUGGGAACUGUUACAGUUGGUGGUUAAUUCCUAAAUUAGGCCACAAGAGCCUCUUAAGCCUGAAUUGUAACAGGAAUGGAUUGAUGGGAUUUGGGUACCUUGGACAGGGCCUUGUGCUAUAAGAAGUAGGUAAAGAGGACUCUGGCUUCUUUCCUGGGUCCAGGGCUAGCGCACACCCUACCUAAAGAACAAUCAAUACCGGUUUUCAUCUUCCCAGUUCUCUUCCUGUAUUCUUCUUCCAUCUUUUGAUAUUUAAUUCAUAGUGCAUCCAUGCUAUCUUUUUUCUUCUAAGAUGUUUUAUAAUUUGAAAGUAGUAAAUGUCACAGAUAAAAUUUAAGAACAUAACUUUACAAAUACCAUUCUCUUGCAAGGUUCUGUUCAUCUUUGUAAUGUUCUGUUUUAGUGUGUGUGCUACUGAAGGGAAUACCUGGGUUUUUUUUUCCUUUUUAUGCAGUACUUUAGGUGUAUAGAUAGAUACAACAUUAGUGAUUUCAUAUGUCUCCCUGUCAUCCGUCUUUAGCCUUAAAUCAUACAUAGAGCUAAAACUGCCUGUCUGCACUUAAUCCCAUACCCUGUGGGCUGACUUAGAGCCAAACUUGCCUCUUUCCCACCUGUUUGAGACUCUACAUUUAACUUUAUUCUUUGCAUGCAAACACCCCUUCCUUUGAUGUAUGUGAAGAUUUGGGAAAAGCAUCUUGAAGCUCUAAGAUUUUGUCCUACCCUAUUGGCGCCCCAAACCCAUCUUGUUAGUAAAGGCAGUAUAGCUUUAUGGGAGCUUGGAGCUCUUUAACUGAGUGCAGUGAGGUUGAUUGUAGGGAUAGAUCAGGAAAUGUUGAUGCCCCCAGAGGUGUCAUUGGUCCCUCUAGUUGGACAGAUAUGGUUUGUAUGAAUCCCUCAUAAAUAUCUGAAAGGAAGAGUUUAUCAUGUGAUUUCUCCUAUGUUUCUUGAUGAGACUGGUGUAGGUUUCCUUAUGGAUUGAUACUAAGAUUUAGGAAUUUUUGAGACCUGGUUGAAUUUGUAUGGAUAUACCAAAAUUGAAUCACUUCCCCAGUGGUGGGCAUUAAAUUGUUUUUUGUUUGUUUUGUUUUGGAGAGCCAUUAACAUAAUAUGUAACUACACAAGAAAGCCUGUAGUAUAUUAUGUAUACUUCACAAGUAAGCCUAUAGUAUAUCUUUGCCAACUUAUGUGAGUAGAUUGAUGGGAUGAAUUUAUAGCAAUGGAAUUAUUGCAUAAAAGUGACAUUCACCUAAAUUUUUACUGGAUACUGCCAAAUGGCCCUUCUAAAAAGUUAAAUUGAUGUAUAUUUUUGCCCAGUUAUUAAGAGUACCCAUUUUCAGUGCCUGGGUGGCUCAGUUGGUUGGGCAUGCGACUUUGGCUCAGGUCAUAAUCUCACGGUUUGUGGGUUCAAGCUCCACAUCCAGCUGUCUGCUGUCGGCACAGAGACUGCUUCAGAUCCUCUGUCUCUCUCUUUCUCUGCCCCUUGCCUGCAUUGUCUCUCUCUCAAAAAUAAACAUUAAAAACGGGGGAGUACCCAUUUUCCUAGGUCUUAUUAACAGGUUGAAAUCAUCACCUGUGUAGAUUUGGAUUUGUGAAUGACAUGAAGGCUCUUUUCAUACAUUUAUGGUGACUUGCGUCUUUCUUUAUAUGACUCCUAUAACUUUACCAAUCUUUCCAUUGCGAGGUUUUUUUUUGAGAUAUAAUUGACAUGUAACAGUGGUUUCAGGUGUACAACAUGAUUACAUAUUUGUGUAUGUUGCACCACCAUAAGUCCAGUUAACAUCUGUCCCCAUAUUUAUUACAGAAUCUUUUCUUGUCUUGAGAACUUUUAAGAUCUAUUCUCAGCAACUUUAAAAUAUUCAGUACAAUGUUGGGCGCCUGGGUGGCUCAGUCAGUUAAGCAUCUGACCCUUGAUUUCUGCUCUGUUCAUGAUCUCACGAUUUGUCAGUUUGAGCACUGACCGUGUGAAGCCUGCUUGGGAUUCUCUUUCUCCUCCUCUCUCUGCUCUUCUCCUGAUCUCUCUCUCUCUC
Neofelis nebulosa (Clouded leopard) is the source of this 2525-nucleotide long non-coding RNA. RefSeq lists it as uncharacterized. NCBI's taxonomy places the organism in Eukaryota, Metazoa, Chordata, Mammalia, Carnivora, Felidae. The record is from RefSeq and is a predicted model, not a curated record. The transcript is spliced from 2 exons.